Molecule: non-coding RNA, 212 nt
Filed under: Cryomorphaceae bacterium
Lineage: Bacteria; Pseudomonadati; Bacteroidota; Flavobacteriia; Flavobacteriales; Cryomorphaceae
Source: RNAcentral
GCCUCAGGUGAGGCGGCUGGUUCCUGUCAUACGACAGGCGAAGAGGGAAUGCGACGGGAUUUGCACAUUUUUGUAAUAUUCCAAAUGCAGCCGCCCCCGCGACCGUGACCGAAGAGGACCUAAUGCCACUGACCAAUAGGUUGGGAAGGCGGGAACCAAGGGGUAAGCCCCACUUCGCAAGCCGGGAGACCUGCCAGCAAAACGAGACGGGC